This is a long non-coding RNA of Mus musculus (house mouse), 1157 nucleotides long. RefSeq annotates it as predicted gene, 52397. The transcript has 3 exons. The record is from RefSeq and is a predicted model, not a curated record. Lineage: Eukaryota; Metazoa; Chordata; Mammalia; Rodentia; Muridae.
GGAUCUGCAAGCACAAAGUGGUGUUGUUACCAAAGCUCGUCCAGUGUGCGAUGCAAAGGGAUCCUCAGGUGUCACCUCGGCUCUCUGGCUCAUAAGGAUGGCUAAAACCGGUACUAAGACCUCCCAGUCCGGAAGGGGCCGUCUGUGAUCACUGAGCAAGAGAAAGAGUUCAGAGCUGGCCUGGGAGAAGCAGGGAAGACUAAGAUUCCCGCCCUGAGGCCCAUUGCCUGGUCUACAAGUGUCCCUGCGAUGCACUCAUGCUGAGAGCUAAGCAAAGUGCAACAGAUGCGCCCCUGUCCAUAGGACGAUGUUCACCGUGAUGUCACAGCAGUGGCUGGGUUGUGGGCCAGGGCGUGGCAGUUUGUGCACAGAACAGCAGAGCCCUUCCCACCUGGAAAUCCUGUGGCUUGUUGGACAGCAUCCUUCGGCUGCUCUUCCCUUUGGUGAUCCUCCGAGCCAGCUGAGCUUCUGACACUGUCCCAGAUGGCCCCUUGGGCCCAGGGCCUCUGACUAUGCCAUCUACCCUGUCUUCAUCUCCUUGAUCUUCUUCCUCUUCUUCUGAAAUACAGAAGGGGAACCAGUUAGUGAUGGUCCUUAGCCUGCAACUGUCUAUCCAGCACCCUGGUCUCCUGGACUUGCCCUGUUCCCAAGGUAACAGGGUAUCAUUGUAUAUUCCUGGCUACCCUGGAAUGCACUAAUGGAUGAAGCUGAAACUCUCAGAAAUCAUCCUAUCUCAACCUCCCAACUGCCGGGACCUUUGAAUUCUGAUUCUAUGUCAGACAAUAUAUACUUAUAGAGAGGGACUGGAAUCAGAAGAUAUUCAGCAAUCAAUGUGGUGAUAACGACAAUGAUAUUACCAUCGCAACACAGAAGGUAAUACACACCUUUGUCUGGUAUGUUAGACACCCAACUUAAAGGCUAGAUAUCCAAAGCUAAAUGUCAACACCCAUGUGGAUAUCAUUGAGCUAUAACCAUAUGCUUUCCAUAUGGAAUUCUGUCAAAUAAAACCAAAUCUCAAAUUUGCCAGUUCUGUGAUUGGAAAUUGAGGAUGAGGCCCAUAUCAUUGACAAGGGGAUGCAUUUAUCACGAAACCAAACUUCCAGUAUUUUCCUUCACUAUCUUGUUCUGUCUUUCCACAGAAGAGCACUCACCCCAGU